Molecule: ribosomal RNA, 666 nt
Filed under: Triticum aestivum (bread wheat)
Lineage: Eukaryota; Viridiplantae; Streptophyta; Magnoliopsida; Poales; Poaceae
Description: partial small subunit ribosomal RNA
Source: RNAcentral
AUGUUACGGGAGAGAUGUGGCCUCCGUGAUAGUGUAUAUGUGACCGUGAAAGAGAAAGUUGCAACGUUCUUGCUUGUAGUUGGUCAUAGUAUUAAUAUGAGGAUGUUGCGUGGCACCUACAAGCGUUAUUUAUGGACCACUAGCACACACUUCUCUGCUGUUCUAACAGCCCUACUCUCUCUACAUGGGAAGUUCAUUAAGCUACCUUCCUCUACCGCUCAAGCUCCUGAUGAUUACAAAUGAAAGUGGUCUGGUGAUGUACUUGAAGCACUGGAUGGUUGUCAUACUGACAUGCUUGUUGAUGUGGCUGACCAAGGAAGGUAUAGGAACCGAAAGCAAGCGAUUAGCACUAACAUGCUAGGUGUCGUUGAUUGGAACAGGCGAAUUUGUAUUCGUGUCAUUUCAGUCUCCUCACUGAUUUGGAAUUCCAAAUCAAUUCAAAUGGAGCUCUCCAAUGGAGACAUCCAAACAAAGCGUAAUGGCAAAAUCUCCCCGGAUGUUUGUCUGCCUCAUGUGCUUUGUGCUUCUAUGCACCAGCCUUCGAGUCCACGGUAUGUUUGUCAUAUUCAUAUCUAUUUUACCAUUCCAUAUAGAUCUUUGAAUUGGGUCUUGUUGUACCCAUCCAUCCAUCGGUUUAGGAGUUUUAGUCUGUACUAUCAAGUUUGA